UCCGUAGGUGAACCUGCGGAAGGAUCAUUAAUUAUGUUAAAGCGCCUUACCUUAGGGUUUCCUCUGGGGUAAGUGAUUGCUUCUACACUGUGAAAAUUUGGCUGAGAGACUCAGACUGGUCAUGGGUAGACCUAUCUGGGGUUUGAUCGAUGCCACUCCUGGUUUCAGGAGCACCCUUCAUAAUAAACCUAGAAAUUCAGUAUUAUAAAGUUUAAUAAAAAACAACUUUUAACAAUGGAUCUCUUGGUUCUCGCAUCGAUGAAGAACGUAGCAAAGUGCGAUAACUAGUGUGAAUUGCAUAUUCAGUGAAUCAUCGAGUCUUUGAACGCAGCUUGCACUCUAUGGUUUUUCUAUAGAGUACGCCUGCUUCAGUAUCAUCACAAACCCACACAUAACAUUUGUUUAUGUGGUGAUGGGUCGCAUCGCUGUUUUAUUACAGUGAGCACCUAAAAUGUGUGUGAUUUUCUGUCUGGCUUGCUAGGCAGGAAUAUUACGCUGGUCUCAGGAUCUUUUUUUUUGGUUCGCCCAGGAAGUAAAGUACAAGAGUAUAAUCCAGUAACUUUCAAACUAUGAUCUGAAGUCAGGUGGGAUUACCCGCUGAACUUAAGCAUAUCAAUAAGCGGAGGA
RNAcentral lists this ribosomal RNA (627 nucleotides) under Rhizopus arrhizus. RNAcentral's name for it is "eukaryotic LSU rRNA". The stretch from base 224 to 377 matches the Rfam family "5.8S ribosomal RNA". The record is from RNAcentral. Lineage: Eukaryota; Fungi; Mucoromycota; Mucoromycetes; Mucorales; Rhizopodaceae.